Molecule: ribosomal RNA, 60 nt
Filed under: Saprolegnia sp. nuchiae
Lineage: Eukaryota; Oomycota; Saprolegniomycetes; Saprolegniales; Saprolegniaceae
Description: partial 28S ribosomal RNA
Rfam family: Eukaryotic large subunit ribosomal RNA
Source: RNAcentral
UUUGGACCUGAUAUCAAACAAGACUACCCGCUGAACUUAAGCAUAUCAAUAAGCGGAGGA